GCCAGGCAUGGUGGCACGUGCCUGUAGUCCCAGCUAUUCAGGAGGCUGAGGUGGGAGGAGCACUUUAGUCUAGGAGUUCUGGGCUGUAGUGCGCAAUACCGAUGGGGUGUCUGCACUAAGUUCUGCAUCAACCUGGUGACCUCCCAGGAGUGGGGAACCACCAGGUUGCCUAAGCGGGGGUAAACUGGCCCAGGUAGGAAAUGGAGCAGGUCAAUACUCCCUGCCUGUGAAUAGCCACUGCACUCCAGCCUGGGCAACAUAGCAAGACCCUGUCUCUU
Unclassified non-coding RNA from Callithrix jacchus (white-tufted-ear marmoset), 278 nucleotides. It matches the Rfam family "Metazoan signal recognition particle RNA". Rfam says of the family: The signal recognition particle (SRP) is a universally conserved ribonucleoprotein. The record is from Ensembl. NCBI's taxonomy places the organism in Eukaryota, Metazoa, Chordata, Mammalia, Primates, Cebidae.